Molecule: long non-coding RNA, 4895 nt
Filed under: Canis lupus familiaris (dog)
Lineage: Eukaryota; Metazoa; Chordata; Mammalia; Carnivora; Canidae
Description: lncRNA (ENSCAFG00000055277.1)
Source: RNAcentral
UUUUUUUAAGUAGGCUCCACACCCAACAUGGAGCCCAAUGUGGGGUUCCAACCCAUAACCCUAAGACCAAGACCUAAGCCAAGAUCAAGAAUCAAAUGCUUAACCAACUGAGCUAUCCAGAUAUCCUUGCCUAAGUUUUGAUAAAUAAUAUUUUUCAAGGAACUUUUCAUUUGACCUAUAUUUUCUUUCUCUUUUAAAGAUUUAUUUAUUGAAGAGAGGGAGAGGGCACACGCUGCACAUCAUAAAAGUGCAUGAGCAUGGGGGAAAGUGUAGAAGGAGAGGGAGAAAGUCUUAAGCAAAUUCCUGCUGAGCACUGAGCCUGAUGCAUGGCAAGGAGCUCCACGUGGGGCUUAAUCUCAUGAUACUGAGAUCACAACCUGAGCCAAAACCAAGAGUGAGCGGCUCAACUGACUGUGCUGCCCACACACUCCCACAUAUUUAAUAAAGUAAUGCUUAUUUUUUAUAUAGAUUUUUAGUACCUUUUCUCUUGAUCCUUCUUAUCACUUAUCUCUUGUAUUAGUCUAUUCUCUUACUUUCAAACCUUUUGUAUUCUUGUGUUUUAGAUGUAUCUUCUUUAUGUAAAGAGCAAAUAUUUCAGUUUUUGAAAAAUCCUAUUUGAAAAUCUCUGUGUUAUAACAACAGAAUUUAGUUCAUUUUAUGUAGUAACUGAUCUCUCUGGGUUUAAACCUACCAUCUUACAGUGUGUUAUCCUUCCUGUUUUUCCUUUUCUUGCCUUUUUAAAAAACUAAUCACAUUCCAUUUUUUCCAUUACUUUGAAAAACAUACAGAACUUUCCUAUUAUCCUCUUAGUUUCCCUAGAAACUACAAUAUACUCUCUUCCUGAAUAGCACAAUAUAUAGAUAGAAUAUUUUAACUCUACUAUUGUGAUUUAUGUGCUACAGUUGUUGCCAUAUAUAUUAAUAUUAAUGCACACUUUUUAUUAUAUUAAAAUAGUCUGGCAAUAAAAAGGCUGCUUAUAGAAUACUGUUAGGUUAAACUUUACUUACAGGAUGUUAAAUCCUUAGAAUUAAGGUUUCCCCCAGAAAAAGAUUAAUGAAAACACUGAUUGCUUUUCAGAUUUGAUAGUCACUGCUUCAAAAGGUGGUUUUACCUGAAUAAAACAAACAAAGCCUGAAUAAAAACCAAAAAACUUCAGAACACAAUUAACACUUUUAUUUCAGUAUGCAUCCACAUCUCAGUAUUUAGUGGUCCUGAACAGAAAAGUGGAAAAAUGCAGCAAUUUGCCAGGAAGUUAAGCCCACCAAUUUCAGGGAUCUGCUGUGCACACUGAGUUCUUUCUUAAUCUCUGCUGAGGACCAUGAUCAUAAAGCAGCAGCAUCAAAAACAAAAUAUGCACCAAAUUCAACGUUCUUUUCGUUCCAGUUGUCAGAUUCCAAACGAGACCCACGUGGAUUCCAAGACGACCAAAUGAGAACUCUGUUUAAAACCUCAAGUUUUAAAAGCAAAAGCAAUUACAGGAAAAGAAAACAAUUCAUUCAGAGGAAUUACGUGUGCUUACAAAUGUCUUCUGUGGCCUUUCUUCGUGUUUUACCACCAAGAACUUUGAGAGCUGGCAGGUCUGAGUGCCCCUGGUGGCUGUUCUUUUCAUUUUAGCAAAACCUGAGCUGAAAAACUGCCAUCAGCUGAUGAUGACAGCAAAGAGUGGCAGAGCUAAGGAUCUAAUAUUCAUUCCCAGGCUGCUGGAGAAUGAGUAAAUUGAUUCCAAAACUAAAUAAGGGAAGUCAGAAACUCUUUCCAACCUUACCUGAUGGCUUUUAGCCAAAGCAAGGAAGUGUCAUGGAAAGUGCUAAGUGAUGAUGGUAUACAAAAAGGGACUUGAGGAGAAGGAAGGAAAGAGCAGCACCAUUAAGGUAGGGGGAAAGCUAUGGAGAAAACCCUGAAUUCCUCACCAAAGGCCAACUUCAGAGGGGAGCAGAGGAGGUCACAAUCUAUGCUUUGGCCAAGGGUGGUAGUGGGAAGUGAAGAAAGGACAAUGGCUUGGAAGUGGGAGGGCAUCAUUUAAGACUAAAAAGAAAGAAACCAGGAGUGCAGAUGGAGUACUCCACACACACCCAGCUAUAGCCCCACAGGCUGUGACCCAAAACCUUCACACCUACUCUAGCAAGCCACCCCAAGCUAGAGGGCUGUUGCAGGGAGGGGGGAUGAAGGGAAGAAGGGAGAAAGGAAUUGAGGGAGGGGUGAGGGACGAGAAGGGGAGAAGGCAGAGACCCCAGGCCAUGUAAUCAGCAGCAAGGUGACUGUGUGAUUUGUCUUUUCAUAGUUGAGUUAGGUGUGCCCCACUGGUUACGAUGGCAAUCUAUUUAUACUUUCUUGAUCCCACAAGUUCAACUAUGUAGACAGUGAUUACACUUGACAGGAUUUGUUAUAGCACAACUUAUGUGUUUCAAAUGGACAAAAAAUUAGUAUCAUUUACAGUAUCUUAAAUUGCUUUUGAAGGGGAGCUUCCUUUCCAGUACUUCUAGGUCUAUAAGACAUAGCUAGAAAAUUUACUACUAUGGAAAAUAAGGGCUGCUUAAAUCAAAGGCUGGAGGGGAGAGGUCCUGUAGUUUCUCUUUUUGAUUAAUUGCUAUAACACUGUCCUUCCGGUGGCUGAGGGAGUUUCAUGUUUUCUUUAGCCAUCAUCAGGCUCCACAGCUCUUGCAGGACAACUUUAAUGCUAUAUGAAUCCUGCCAUUUUGCUAGCACUGGCAUGGUUCUUGGGUCCACCACUCCAUUAGAACUAUUAACUCCAUUCAUAUUAAUUUUUGUUACAAAUCUUACAAAAGGGAAUCUUCUGGGUAUUUAGCUCCACAUUCUAUUUUAAGGCUGUAUAUGAGAUUUUCAUAAAUUGUUCCUAGAGGCCUAAUUAUCAUCCUUGUCCAUCUUAUAAGUGUCAUGUCUUCAUCAUCUUCUAGACCCAGCUAACUGCCAUCUCCUAUUCCUUUCUGGCCUCCUUCUAGUUCUUCCAAGUCAAAAAUUGCAAGGGACUUUUACUCCUGAGCCCGUGGUGGCUGCCAUCUUGUGUCACUUUGUAUAUAUAUCAGCUACAAAAAACAUUAUCAUUAUUUGAACAAUGUCCAUUUAGAUUCAAUGACAUAUUUAUCUAUGUUGUUGCUCUUGAUUUUUCCUUUAUCUUUGAUCUCUUAAUCUGUAAUAAUUCUUUUGUAUAAGAACACCCUUUAGAAUUUUCUUCCUUGUGGAUAUGCUGGUGACAAACUCAGUUUUUGAAAUGUCUUCCUUUCUUAAGAAAUAUUUUGCCAGAUAAAUUUAAUUUGACAGUUAUUUUCUUCCAGCACAUCCAUAUACUGUCCUCUGGCUUCCACUGUUGAUGUAGAGAACUCAGUGGUCGGUUCAAGAGUUCUUUGAAUAUCAGUAUUUUUCCUCAUUUUGCUUUUACAUUAUCAUUGUCUUUAUUGUUAGUUUUUUUAUUGUAUUAGGAAUGACUGAUUUUCUUAAAUCUAUGAACUGGUAUCUUUCACUCAAAUAUUGUUUCUACCCUAUUCUCUCUUCUCUCCUUCUGGGGCUCCACUUAAAAGUACAUUAUACAUUAUCUCAGUAUCCUCUUUUGAUUAUUUUUCAGUUUUAGAAUGUCUAUUUGAUUCUUGUUCAAAUCUGUUAUUUUUUUUUUUUGAAGAUUUUAUGUAUUUGAGAGUGAGAAAAAGACAGCAGGGGUAGGGGGAAGGACAAGCAGAUUCCCCCGAGCAGGGAGCCCUAUGCGGGGCUCUAUCCCAGGACCCUGAGAUCAUGACCUGAGCCAAAGACAGAUGCUCAACUGACUGAGCCACCCAGACCCCCCUGUUAUUUUACACAUAUAUACUUUCCAGUCGCCUUCUAAAAUGUUCAAGCCUGGCUUUUAUGUACAGAACAUAAUAAAUAUUUCAUAGUUUAUCUGAUAAUUUUAAAAUCUGGAAUCCCUACUACUUGACUGUUGCUUAUGCUAGUUCUCACUCAUAUUGUGGAUCUAAUGAUCUUUCUCCCUUUGCUGAACACCUUAAAAACUUUAUUUGUAGUAAUAAUCUGAGACUUAAGCUGAUAUUACCUACUUCCAGAGAGAAUUUUCAUUUGAUUCUACCAGGUGCUUAAAGGCAACAGAAUUCCUAUUCCAAGUUCAAAAUUUAAGAUUUUCCCUAAAGAAAUCAGGCCACAGAUCUUGUAAGAUCAGUAUUUCCUCCAGUUUAUCCUCACUUCCAGCCUGCAGCUCUUUGAAAUGCUGACCGAAAGCAAGGGUUGUUUGCCAGGUACCAGGUUCUCAACCUCUGCAAGUCCUGACCUGAUAUUAUAAAUAGAAAUACAUACAUUUCUACAUACAGAUAUCUAUAUAUCUAAAGACAAAUAGUGUGUCCAAUGAUCCCUGCAGCUGUAUUUCCACCCUUGUGAAGGUUCCUUCUACAUUGUACCAGGAUCAGUGACUAGUAACAGAAGUAAUGGUAUAUCACUUCUAAGAUUAUAAAAGACUGGCAUCUGUCUUAGCUUCUCUGUCUUGGGGAAGCAAGUUCCAUGUGGUAAGCAGUCCCAUUCACAGGCCUCCAGCUAGGAGCCAAUAAGGAACUGAGGCCUGACAACCAUGUGAGUAAGCUCAGACUUGGAUUCUCUAGUCUACUUGAGCCCUCAGAUAACUGGAUCUCUUCAACAGUUUGACUGCAAACUCACAAGAGACUCUGAGCCAGAACCAAAACCCAGCAAAGCUGCUUCCACAGAAGCUGUAAGGUAAUACGUCUGCUUAUCAUACUAUAUGCAGUGUAUUUCAGUGAUCAUAAUUUUUAUUUCUACAAAUUAGCUUUGGCUCUUUUUAAAAAUCUGUUUUUUGAUAGUCUCUUGUUUGUUGCAAAUGCUUUUGCUUUCUACUUUGUCUAAAUUUUUUAAAUUUAUUUUUUAUUGGUGUUCAAUUUACCAAC